GAUGAAGAACGUAGCGAAAUGCGAUAAGUAAUGUGAAUUGCAGAAUUCAGUGAAUCAUCGAAUCUUUGAACGCACAUUGCGCCCCUUGGUAUUCCGGGGGGCAUGCCUGUUCGAGCGUCAUUAUCACCCCUCAAGCUCAGCUUGGUGUUGGGGCCUGCCCGUCACAGGGCAGCCCUUAAAAGCAGUGGCGGUGCCAUCUGGCUCUACGCGUAGUAAUACUUCUCACGACAGAGUCCCGGUGGUGUCCUGCCAGAACCCCCCAUAUUUUUAAUGAUUGACCUCGGAUCAGGUAGGGAUACCCGCUGAACUUAAGCAUAUCAAUAAGCGGAGGA
This 332-nucleotide unclassified non-coding RNA is filed under the name soil metagenome. RNAcentral's name for it is "partial contains 5.8S ribosomal RNA, internal transcribed spacer 2, and large subunit ribosomal RNA". The stretch from base 1 to 120 matches the Rfam family "5.8S ribosomal RNA", at positions 35 to 154 of the family's 154-position model. The record is from RNAcentral.